UACAGGGGGUGCAAACGUUGCUCGGAAUCAUUGGGCGUAAAGCGCACGUAGGCGGUUCGUUAUGUCGGAUGUGAAAGCCCUUGGCUUAACCGAGGAAGUGCAUCCGAAACUGGCGAGCUAGAGUACGAAAGAGGAUCGCGGAAUUCCCGGUGUAGAGGUGAAAUUCGUAGAUAUCGGGAGGAACACCGGUGGCGAAGGCGGGUCACUCG
Molecule: ribosomal RNA, 209 nt
Filed under: uncultured bacterium
Lineage: Bacteria
Description: partial 16S ribosomal RNA
Rfam family: Bacterial small subunit ribosomal RNA
Source: RNAcentral